Molecule: long non-coding RNA, 1698 nt
Organism: Bolinopsis microptera
Lineage: Eukaryota; Metazoa; Ctenophora; Tentaculata; Lobata; Bolinopsidae
Exons: 3
Source: RefSeq, a predicted model, not a curated record
AGGAGCUGCCAUUUAUGACUGGCAUCACACACUAUACACCUUGGGUUCUUGGACUAUUCAAAGACAGGACAAAACCUAUAAUGCUCCAGCUCUACAAAUCCAUGGUAUUAAGAUCCAGCGAGUGGAGUACUGCUGCUCUGGAAUCCAAAAAAGAUCUAUAAUAUCCAGUCAGUCGAGAGCAUACAACGCCAGUUAAUUGUAGACAGAUUCUAGGGCUCAAAAACACCGACUAUUGGAAUAGACCGAAGGAACUGAAACUUAUAUCCCUGCUGGCUGCUAAGAUGCUGAGAAGGCUAGACUCCAUCAUACAUCUGUGGAAAGUUCUCCAGGGAUAUGUCCAAAUUACCUAUAGAUGAUCGAUGUACAGUUCAGAGAGAAUGCCAGACUGAGAGUUAAAGUAAUACUAUCUUCUCUCACCAAAAAAAUCAGCUUCUUCACGCUCCAUGCCUACGACUACUCAUUUGCAGUGAAAGAUGGAAGACUUGGAAUUUUCUCCCCUAAAUUGACAAUAGUGACAAUAUCAAAAGACUUUGGCAAGCUUCAAGACAUUUCUCGGAAACGGGAAACCGCAGAUUGCGUGAUAACCGUGAACUUACCUAUUUCUACUCUUCUAUAUAAGUUCAAUAGGUUGGACCAAGAAGUUCUUGGGUAACAUUGUUUUCUAUCCUAUAUGUGACCUCUGCUGAGUUUCGCCAAGACUUGACGGGCCAUCACAUCUUCUGACCACCCCACCAGUAUCGCUUGUUGCGCCAGCACAGCAGAGAGUUCGUGAGGAGGGCCUGUUUCCCUGAUCGGCGGCUUAUUGUUGUCGCUAUAAUUGCAAUUGUCCAAACAACCUGUUUGAGUUGGUGCCAGUUAAUAAAGCAAAAGUUCAACGGAGGUAGUACACACACUACACAGUACUAUGGUAGACAGAGAGCACGCAUCCGGUCGGAGUUGGGCCUGCAGGAAUGAACCCGUUUCUUACUGAUUACGAAGUCAAUGUUGGGACUGAAAGAUCUAACCUGUUUCUUACUGAUCACGAAGUCAAUGUUGGGACUGCAAGAUCUAACCUGUUUCUUACUGAUCGCGAAGUGAUUGUUGCGACCGGAUGGAUUGGUUGUCGGUCACCGGAUUGUUAUAUGUUAUAUGUUAUAUGUUAUGCAAAUGAAUCCGUUUCUUGCGGAUCACGAAGUGUGAUGUAAUCUCGUUAUCAUUUAUACUUUCAAUCUGUAAUCUUCCGUAAUCAUUUCUAUGAAAUUGUCUUUAGUUAUUUAGUACAUAUUAUUUGUUUAUGUACGAAAUUGUUUUUAGCAUUUAUGAAAGAAUCAUUUGAAAAUUAUUUACAUGCAAUUCAAAUUGUAAAACUAUCUCUACUAUAAUUCUAGAAUUAUCUUUGUACAUUGUACGACCGUCCACGUGAAAAUUUUUAAAACGACAUUUUUAUCGGUUUUGUGGUAAUUAUACGUUGUGGUAAUUAUACGUUGUGUUCAUUGCAAGCUAUAUUUUAAUGGGCUGUAUACUCGGUCGUGACAGAUAUUUUUUGAUGCGAUAAAAACUGACUAAAAAGAAUACUAUUAGUUUCCUUUGUGUGACCACGGGCUUUUUAGUUUCUUUAUAAUAUACAAAGAAUACUUAUAUUUUUAUGUAAUCCUGUUGUAAUUCAAAUUGUAUUUCAAUCGUAGGAUUUUUAAAAUUUCUAAUUUCUUAUUGUACCAC